AACGAACGCUGGCGGCAUGCCUAACACAUGCAAGUCGAACGAGACCUUCGGGUCUAGUGGCGCACGGGUGCGUAACGGGUGGGAUACUGCCCUUAGGUUCGGAAUAACUCCCCGAAAGGGGUGCCAAUACCGGAUAAUAUCUUCGGACCAAAGAUUUAUCGCCGUUGGAUGGGCCCGCGUUGGAUUAGCUAGUUGGUAGGGUAAAAGCCUACCAAGGCGACGAUCCAUAGCUGGUCUGAGAGGAUGAUCAGCCACACUGGGACUGAGACACGGCCCAGACUCCUACGGGAGGCAGCAGUGGGGAAUAUUGGACAAUGGGCGAAAGCCUGAUCCAUCAAUGCCGCGUGAGUGAUGAAGGCCUUAGGGUUGGAAAGCGCUAUUACCCGGGAUGAUAAUGACAGUACCGGGAGAAUAAGCUCCGGCUAACUCCGUG
Molecule: ribosomal RNA, 433 nt
Filed under: uncultured bacterium
Lineage: Bacteria
Description: partial 16S ribosomal RNA
Rfam family: Bacterial small subunit ribosomal RNA
Source: RNAcentral